GGAAAUGCUGGAGCAGCCAGCGCCGCGCUGGGGAUGUGGCUUUGGGGAUGGAGGCUCGGGGAGAUGAGCCGCGAAGCUCAGCCAUCCCCAGGUCAUCCCUGCAGGACGCUGAGCUGCAUAUGGGGAGAAACAUCGAGCCCAAGGCGCCACAAACAUAUGGGAACCACAGCAGCAAACCAGGUCUGGGCACCAAUCAAUACUCCACAAGCAAUUUCCAGUGCUCGGCUUGCUCGUUA
RNAcentral lists this long non-coding RNA (236 nucleotides) under Gallus gallus (chicken). The record is from RNAcentral. Lineage: Eukaryota; Metazoa; Chordata; Aves; Galliformes; Phasianidae.